AUAAGCUAGUCCCAGGAACAUUUAACUGAUCUUACCUAACUUUGCUGAGCAUCAAAAGAAAAUCUGUAGUUUUGAUGAAGCAAAGGAAAUGCUUUUAAGUUGUAGAAAAGGUGUGUAUUUUAAGUUGUAGAAAAGGUGUGUAUUUUGAGUUGUAGAAAAGGUGUGUAUUUUGAGUUGUAGAAAAGGUGUGUAUUUUAAGUUGUAGAAAAGGUGUGUAUUUUAAGUUGUAGAAAAGGUGUGUAUUUUGAGUUGUAGAAAAGGUGUGUAUUUUGAGUUGUAGAAAAGGUGUGUAUUUUGAGUUGUAGAAAAGGUGUGUAUUUUAAGUUGUAGAAAAGGUGUGUAUUUUGAGUUGUAGAAAAGGUGUGUAUUUUAAGUUGUAGAAAAGGUGUGUAUUUUGAGUUGUAGAAAAGGUGUGUAUUUUAAGUUGUAGAAAAGGUGUGUAUUUUAAGUUGUAGGAAAGGUGUGUAUUUUGAGUUGUAGAAAAGGUGUGUAUUUUAAGUUGUAGAAAAGGUGUGUAUUUUGAGUUGUAGAAAAGGUGUGUAUUUUAAGUUGUAGAAAAGGUGUGUAUUUUAAGUUGUAGAAAAGGUGUGUAUUUUAAGUUGUAGGAAAGGUGUGUAUUUUGAGUUGUAGAAAAGGUGUGUAUUUUAAGUUGUAGGAAAGGUGUGUAUUUUAAGUUGUAGAAAAGGUGUGUAUUUUAAGUUGUAGAAAAGGUCUGUAUUUUGAGUUGUAGAAAAGGUGUGUAUUUUGAGUUGUAGAAAAGGUGUGUAUUUUAAGUUGUAGGAAAGGUGUGUAUUUUAAGUUGUAGGAAAGGUGUGUAUUUUGAAGCAUGAAUGAAAGAAAAAGGAUACACACAAUAGGCAGGGUUUUUUGUUUUUGUUGUUGUUUUUGGAUUUUUGGAUUUGUUUUUUUUGGAGACAGGGUUUCUCUGUGUAGCCCUGGCUGUCCUGGAACUCACUCUGUAGACCAGGCUGGCCUUGAACUCAGAAAUCCGCCUGCCUCUGCCUCCCAAGUGCUGGGAUUAAAGGCGUGUGCCACCACCUCCCAGCUUAUA
Apodemus sylvaticus (European woodmouse) is the source of this 1051-nucleotide long non-coding RNA. RefSeq lists it as uncharacterized. Lineage: Eukaryota; Metazoa; Chordata; Mammalia; Rodentia; Muridae. The record is from RefSeq and is a predicted model, not a curated record. The transcript is spliced from 3 exons.